This 517-nucleotide ribosomal RNA is filed under the name uncultured Acaulospora. Its description in RNAcentral is "SSU rRNA". It matches the Rfam family "Eukaryotic small subunit ribosomal RNA", at positions 569 to 1085 of the family's 1831-position model. Lineage: Eukaryota; Fungi; Glomeromycota; Glomeromycetes; Diversisporales; Acaulosporaceae. The record is from RNAcentral.
AGCAGCCGCGGUAAUUCCAGCUCCAAUAGCGUAUAUUAAAGUUGUUGCAGUUAAAAAGCUCGUAGUUGAAUUUCGGAAUCUGUCCGUUGGUCGGGCUUAACUGUCCGUACUGAUGUGAUGGGUUCUUACCUUCUGAAUAACCAGCAUGCCAUUAAUUUAGUGCGUUGGGGAAGCAGGACUAUUACCUUGAAAAAAUUAGAGUGCUCAAAGCAGGCUAGUGCCUGAAUACAUUAGCAUGGAAUAAUAAAAUAGGACGGCAUGGUUCUAUUUUGUUGGUUUCUAGGAUCACCGUAAUGGUUAAUAGGGAUAGUUGGGGGCAUUAGUAUUCAAUUGUCAGAGGUGAAAUUCUUGGAUUUAUUGAAGACUAACUUCUGCGAAAGCAUUUGCCAAGGAUGUUUUCAUUAAUCAAGAACGAAAGUUAGGGGAUCGAAGACGAUCAGAUACCGUCGUAGUCUUAACCAUAAACUAUGCCGACUAGGGAUCGGACGAUGUUAAUUUUAUAAUGACUCGUUCGGCG